UCCAAAUUAGAGCAGGUAAUGGCAAAAUAAUUUCUUUAAGGUUGACUUACUAAAGUAUAGUCCCACCUGAGUGGUUUGGUUUCGGUGGAAUCUACCCCAACCUUCCUUUUAUUACCAAUUUGUUUACUUAAGUUUUUACAUUUAAACAUUAAUAUAAGCCACAUAAGACCCAAAACAUACCAUUUGGUAAGUUUUCAAUUUAUUUACUUGUUAGGUCCAAAACAGCACCCUAAAAUGGAAGUCCUUGUGAUAACAGCCGAGACAGGAGGACUUUGGACUAGUAAACAGGAGGAUUAUUAUUGGAUAAACAGAGGUCUGGAGGUGGGUUUCUGUUUACCUGGAGCUUCCCUAAAGCUACCAGGAACCUCCCUUAAUCCACUCAAAGGUCAACUCCUUAGGGCAAGGACAUCGAGUUCCCAGUACAUCUGCAGAGCAGCUCAGAGCACCCCUCCCUUGCUGACAGACAUCAGCUUGCUUUUCCGCCACUUGCCCUUGUCCCACCCCAAGAUACGAUCUUGGCAAUUUGAUCUCUAAAAUACCGUUCCUUUUACUCACGGAGCAGUCUAGUUUACGACACCCUCACUUACACUACUAAGUUAGUUUAGUUUGCACAGUCACAACCAUUAUCUAAUUACAAAAUAUUUUGACCAUCUCAGAAUGACUCUGAGAUGUAGUCAAGAAACAGACAGUAAAUGUAGCCCAGUCAACUCGAACACACUUGCUGUUUUUGUGUGUUUGCCUGUUCUGGGUACUCCAUAUAAUAGUGUGCCUAAUGAUUUUAGUUUUUUACUCGUUUCAUUGCUGAAUAAUAUCCUAUCAUGUGGAUAUACAACGUGUGGAUAUGUGUUUUCAUCAGCUGAUGGACAUUCGCUUUGUUCCUGUCAUUUGUCUAUUAUGAACGAAGCUGCUAUGGAAAUUUGCAUACAAGUUUUUGUUUGCCCUCAGUUGCUGAAAUCCGUGAUGAUUCUGUCUUUUAGUUUUUGUGCUGCCCACAGUUUUUCCUAAGUGUCUUACCAUUUUAUAAUUCCGUAAGAAUAUCUGUAACCUCAGAACAUAUUUUAACUACUCUAAGGCUUAGGUUAGUAGCUCUCCAGCUUUUAGACGAAAUGCUAAGCUGAUAAACAAGAAAUACUUUCCUAGGGCUGGGUCCCGGGUUUGUUCAUUGAGAAUCCUGUGGAUACAGAGACGGCGGCCAUGUUUCGUCUGCGAGGCAGACUCUCCAGUCUGUGAGGCCUCCUUGGGAAUCUUUAACAGUGGGGAGAAUGCCACCUGGGUGAUUUGGCAAAGCUGGAGUCUGGCCAGAGAGAAAGGUCGGGCAGAGUCAAAUCCCUCUCAGUGCUGGCUAAGUUUUGGAUGCCGACCCUUAAGCUAGAACCGACUUUCUGUUCUCCACAAUAACCAUCGGCUUAGGUUUUGUUUUCUUAAUGGGGAAAAUGUGUGAAGCUUCAGCAUUUCCUGUCUCUCUGGAACAAACAGUUUUCUGCAAAACCAUCUAAAUCCCAGGAGUCUGCACAUGAGUUUAUAACUUAAGCUGGGAGAGAGAAGCAUCCUGGGAGUUUGUGUCAUUCUUGGUCAGCCCUGGAGCCAUCAUGUCUGCUCGGUCGAGUCUCACUGACCACAGUCCUCCAAGGUGGGCCAGGCCAGCUCACGCUAUCUCCACUUCAUGCACGAGAGUUGAUCCUCAGAGGCGUGGCUCCAUCUUCUUCACGUCACCCGUGUAGUCCAGAAGUGGCUUUGCUCAAGCCAUUCAUUCUCAAGUGUAUAACAAAACUCCCUUGCAGGUCUUCGUAACACAAAUUAAGUUACUUGUAGGUAAAGACCUCACCCCUUUUCCCCCUCCAGUCUAAGCCUUGACGAAUAGGAGAUUUUCAAGAAAAAUCCACUUAUUCUGGCCCUACCCUGAGAGUCGACCUUGCCUGUCACUCAAGCUGUCAAGAAACUCAACCUGUCACCAUUGAUGAAAGCUAAAAGGGGGCCUUGGGAUGAUGAAUGUAUUCAAAUAAGAAUAGUUAUAAAAACACUACAGCUAGGCUACCAAUCACUUACUAUGUGCAUCCUACACAUUUUAACCCAUGUCACCCUGCCUAUUACCUUUUAGCAGGUUAGUGCUAUACUCAUUUUACAGAAGGAAAAACAGAGGCUCAGAGAGGGCAAAGGCAUUGACCGAAGUUAUAAAGCUAAGUAAGAAAGGGAAAAAUGCAACUGUCAGUUUCUAGAUCUGCAAUGUGUUUUCUUGGGGAAAAAAAAAUCAUUGUUCUGUUUCUCCCACAUAUUAUACGUAACAACAUUCAGGAUGACUAACAUUUCCUCUAAUUUAUUUAUAUAUUUUAAAUGAUUUGUUUAUUAUUUUUAUUUUACGUGUAUGAAUGUUUUCUCUCCAUGUGCAGUAAGCGUACUGUGCCAGUGCAGGGACUUCAGAGGCCAGAAUAGGGCAUCAGAUACCCUGAAACUGGUGUUAUAGAUAGUUGUAAGAUGCCGGGGAUGGUGGAAACUGAAUCUUCGUCCCUCGCAAUGGCAGUAAACAUUUGUAAUCAUGGAGUCAUCUCUCUAGCCCCAUAUAAAUUUGCUUUAAGUGAUGUCCAGUGGCCUUCAUUUCAUCUAUAGUGCUUAUAAAGAUCUUGGGCAAAUAUUUUAGCAUUUUAAAGCUUCCACUUUCUAAUCUUCAAAAUGGGAAAACAAAGCUGCCUACUGUGUGAUGUUCUCUGAGGACAGAUGGUACAAGGCACUCACAGUGGUUGGCCCACAACUGCUGUUCAGCAUAUUCUAAUUAUCAAUUGUUAAUUUGAUAAGUGCUCCAGGCUGGCCUGGAACUCACUCUGUAUCUGAGGCUGGUGUCGAACUCACAAUGAUCAUCCUCUCCCAGGCAGCCUCCCAAGUGCCGGGAUUGCAGACGUGCACCACAGUGCAUGCCUUUGAAGUCCACAUCGAUGUACAUCAGAAUCCCAAGUGAGAACUUUUCGAAGUACUGCCCUCUGGGUCCCCUGUGGGACAUUCUGAAGAAGUUCCCCAAGUGAUUCAGCUUCACGGUCGGUGGGCUCAGUGCCAGCUGUGCCACACGUCCACCAAGGAUGUGCUCGCUCAAGACACUGUUUUAUGCACUACAAAUAAUGAAGUAAAUGUCACAUAAAAUCCGUUGGAGCUUCACUGAGGUGACCAUAGAUGGGUGGGGCUUGGAGGCUCAACAGCGCCACCUUUCUUAAGUGGUAACAGAAUAAUCUGUGAAGACAGGAAGUCCAGAAGUGUGGUGAGCAGACUUUGGAGAGAGCAGAAAGAGGAGAUCCAAGGGCGAGCCGGAGUUAGAGAAGGGGCUGUCAAGAAAGUGCAAGAACUCAUUGUGUGGUAGGCACUGUCUGCCAAUCUCAUCAUCUGAGAAGAGUCUAGUACUUAGAAUAAGCAAAGAAUCUUACAACACGGCAUUGAAUGACAAAAACCAAUUAAAACCGAACAAACCAUUACAGUAACUAUUUCUCCAGAUACAAUGUACAAAUGAAGCUGUGUGGUGUCCCGUACCGAUAAUCCCAGCAUUCAGAGGAGACUGAGGCAGGAGGACUGUGAUGUCAAGACUGUCUGUGCAACGUCAGGAGACUCUGGAUUAAUCCCCUGACAUGUAUACACACAAGUGGUCAAUGCUCAAUGUCAAGCCAUCUGAGAAAUGUAAGUCAAAGGCACAAUGAGGUACCCUUUCACGCCUAGUAGGGUGGCAGUCAUCACUAUCGUUACCAUGGCCAUCAUCAAUUAUCCUGAGAUAAUAACAGAGGUAUAUGCCUGGAGAACUGGAGGCCUACACAGAUGUUUAUAAAUAGAAAGGAUCACCGUGUUCACCAACUGAUGAGUGAUGUCCAUCAGCUCUGUAGUAUAACUACACAGAGUGUCGUACGGGGGAACAGAGUGAACCAACACAUGCGUAAUAUGGGUGAACUUUGAAAACAUAAAGUAAGUAAAAUAACCGUUACUAAGGGCAGCAUAUUAUAUAGUCGCACCAAUGACACAUUUAGAAUAGAAAAGCCCACAGAAAUGAAGAAGAGCUUAGCUAACCGUUGACAGAUGAGGGAGUGAAGAGGAAUGAGAAUGACUCUUGAGACAGUGAACAUCCUCAACAAUGCAGCAUUGGCUACCCAAUGCUGUGGCUAUGAACUCACGGGAGGGGAAAGUUAGUCAAUACAAUUCUUAUGGUGUCAUCUGAAUGCCCAAGUGUCUUCCAAUGACAUGGAAAUAAAGAAGAAUGUAAAGAAAGUUACAGAGCCGGCAGGGUAAGGGCAGAUUCAGUCAGUAGUAUAUUCGUUUAGAACAGGUGUGACAAGAGAGAAUCUGGAGAUGAGGCUGAAGUGAGAUGUUGGGUCUCGAACUUCCAGUCAGCCUGUGGGUCUCUGAGUGAGUUUCACAUAUCAUGUCUAUCAUGUCGGGCCACUGCUCUUCCAGGUGCUUGAACAAAGAGAGAGGCUUGGCAGUAUAAGUGAGGGUGACAUUAAACAAACACUGCACGCCGGAAACACAUUUGAUAGGUACUCCUCGGCGUGAUGCAAUCCAGGAAUGUGCAGGUAUUCUGGGUACACUUACAGAAGUCAUGUUCGGGGAGAUGUGGUGAGAGUGAUGUCAUAGGAAGAGCUGUUGGUGGGUCUCAAACACCCCCUCUCGAGGUGCUGGCAGAGCAAGGAAGCAAUGAAGCGUCUUUCCACGGAGACAGCUGUGGGCUGAAUGUUGAGCGCUCUCUGUCAUGCUUCAUCCUUCCAGCUACUGUGGGAGAAAUGAUACUCACGACUGUUCAGGAGCUGACGAUGGACUGGUCUAGCAGAUCUUGCUUUCUCCGUCACCAGAAGCAAGGAUCCAGGGACCUCCCUGACUCUUUCCUCCCUGCUUAGGGAGGCAUUUGCAAAUGUCAUCACAAAGUUUCUUGGGUCAGGGUCACUUCCUUGCUUUAGUUUGUCCAAGUGAGAGUUGUCAAAAAUGGACUAGAUCCUUCCAGAGUUGGCACCAGUACAGGGGAGGGGAGGAGGACAGAGCACAGAGAGCAAUCUCGUUGAACACCACCCCUCCACAAUAAACAUUAUAUUCCUCACGGGAGGCGCAUGUUUGCUUUAUGAAUAUAUUCUGUGCUAUUCUUUUAUUCCUCCCCCUUCCCCAUAUUUCUUCACUAUUCAUCCUUGCCUGCCCCUGUCCCACAAUAAGUCCCUAGGUUCUAGUCACAGCACGGCUAAGGCAAGAUGUUAAGAAACCUGUCAGGACAGCUGCUCUGGUCCUGUGCUUUACGAGCUGCUCAGAGUGUGCUUCAGCUGUAGGGAAGCUCAAAGGGAAGUCCAGGCUUUAGCUCUGAUGAGCAAAGCUAACACAAAGGUUGCUCACUGCAAGCCAGAGCACAGCCUCCUAAAACCCAUCCUUCUGACUCACAGGACAGAGACCUCCUCAAGCUCCUUGGUCAGAAUCUGCCGAGGCUCCAGGUGUCAGAAUCUGCCAAGGCUCCACCCACCGGCGGCUUUCUGUGAGCAGGUGUGCAUGGAACUUUGGAUCCCAUGUUUUGAAAUUUGUAAUCUGAGGCCCUCAGAGGUCACAGGCACCAUCUAAGGGGAGGGAUUUGAGGCAAAAGGGGGAUUAUGUUUCUGACUUCUACCUCAUGAGAGGAAAGAACCAACCCAGUUAACAGAGAGUCCUUAAUGAGGGUUGAAUGUGUGAGGGUCUGUCUUGGGGGGAUGCAGUCCAGAGAACUCUCGUUCAUCCCUUUCUCUCUGCACACACUGUUCUCUGAGCUCCAUGGCUUCCUGUUUCCUUGUCAGACUUCAUAUAAGCAUUUGCGGAGGGUAGAGCAGGUGUUAGGCUCCACAGCCAGGAUGCAGAAGCAGGUGGAGGGCAUCAGAUGUGAAUGACACUUGGGCCGGAGCUCAACAAGUUCCCCUUUUAGUGAGCAGUAAAGGACCAGACAUGACUGUAAUCUCUGUUUAUGAUUUGAGUACUCAGGAGAAAUGACUCAUUUCAGCAGACGAAAAAGAACUCUGGUGGGCAAGAAUGUGCAAGGCCAACGAGAGCUUCAAAUGCUUUGAAGAAAGAAUAUGACCUGAGAGUGUCCCCACAGGCUCUGUAGGUCUCUCAUAAACCUAGCUGACACACCGAGUAGUUCUCCAACCCUUUGCUUCCGAUCUCAGCCAAUCGUCUCCUUUGUGAUCACACAGUUGUAGGGUGUGCUAGGUGGGAACAAUUCUUGCCUCUAUUAAAUGAUGCUUAAAUAUAAUAUGUGUAAUUCUUAUAAGGCAGUCUUGGCCAAAAUAGAAAAUCCUGUUGCUGUGCCACUUCACCUCCCACUCUCCCACUCCUACGUUCACACCACACCAUCCUACAAGGUUUUUUGCUUG
RNAcentral lists this small RNA (6341 nucleotides) under Rattus norvegicus (Norway rat). RNAcentral's name for it is "uncharacterized LOC102547905". The record is from RNAcentral. Lineage: Eukaryota; Metazoa; Chordata; Mammalia; Rodentia; Muridae.